UAAUCCCUCUCUUCAACUCUCUCUCUCUCUCUCUCUUUCUCUCUCUUCUUUCUUCAUCUCCUCAGCCGCAUAUCCCUCCCCUUUCUCUUUCUUCUUCCUCUCUCCUCCGUCAUCUCUCCCACGCCCACGUUCCUCUCCACUUCUCCUUGCCCCCACGACUGUCUCAUCACGCUCCCUGCCACCUCCACUCACCGUUUUCCCCCACACCGCUGCUCUCUCCUUACUCUAUAAAAGGAGAGGGAGAUCGAACAGAGAAAGAGGAGAGGAAGAAGACGAAGGAGGAGACCCAAAAAAAACAAGGAUCUGAGACCCGAAAUCAACACAAAAAAAGGGAGUGAAUUUCAGUUUUGAGGGACAUGAGUGUUUUGUGACAAAUGUUGAUCCUUUUAUCUGGUUUGGAACUCUUCAAAUCAGAAAACAUUUUUGUUGAAAAUACGAAUUCGGGAGGAAAGGUUAAGUCUUGACGAUUCGAUUAACCUUCGUCGUUGUUCGAUAAAAGCACUUUAAACAGAACCAUUUUUAUUUUCGAGUUGAGUUUUGAAUCUAUUCAUAACGAGAGAGUAGAUUCGACGCCGUCGACGACCAGUUCAUUGUACUUGAAGAAGAAAAAUGGAGUCUUAAUUCGGGACUCAUCAUCUUCCGCGCAUUUUGACGUUGGGUCAAAAGCCCAACACAACUCCUCUCGAGUCCACCCCAUAUAGUAGCAGUCAAUUCGCAGCCAAACAAGGAAAUAAAAAAUCUGGGCCGAAGCCCAAUAGGUGUGACAACAACAACAACACAUAAAAACUAUUACUGGGCCGAAGCCCAGCUGCAAACGGAUCAUAGCAAUCCAAAUGGGCUGAGCCCAUUUAUAUUAUAUCUACCCCUCUAUUUUAAUUUUUUGUAUGCAUUUAACGUGUAUUGUAUGACUAACAUUUUUGUUUGCUAAUUUAGAUAAACCUCAGUGACAUUAAGGAUUUUAGUUUAAUAAUGGGUAGUUAAUUUCACUAA
Molecule: long non-coding RNA, 990 nt
Organism: Lycium barbarum (goji berry)
Lineage: Eukaryota; Viridiplantae; Streptophyta; Magnoliopsida; Solanales; Solanaceae
Exons: 2
Source: RefSeq, a predicted model, not a curated record